Molecule: long non-coding RNA, 90 nt
Organism: Hydra vulgaris (swiftwater hydra)
Lineage: Eukaryota; Metazoa; Cnidaria; Hydrozoa; Anthoathecata; Hydridae
Source: RefSeq, a predicted model, not a curated record
CAGUUAUCAUUAAUUGGUGGUAAAAAUCUAGUUGAUACAAUUAAAAAUAUUUUGCUCUUAAGCUGCUUUUAAGUCAAAUAAAAACUUAAC